GCCAAGCGCGCCUGUUGUCCCAGUUACUCGGGAGGCUGAGGCAGGAGGAUCGCUUGAGCCCAGGAGUUCUGGGCUGCAGUGCGCUAUGCCCAUCGGGUGUCCGCACUAAGUUCGGCAUCAAUAUGGCGACCUCCCGGGAGCGGGGGACCACCAGGUUGCCUAAGGAGGGGUGAACCGGCCCAGGUCGGAAACGGAGCAGGUCAAAACUCCUGUGCUGAUCAGAAAUCUACUUUUAAUAGAAAUGAGCAUAAGAGUACAUGUCACAAUAAUGAUACAU
RNAcentral lists this signal recognition particle RNA (277 nucleotides) under Dasypus novemcinctus (nine-banded armadillo). RNAcentral describes it as "Metazoan signal recognition particle RNA (ENSDNOG00000041166.1)". It matches the Rfam family "Metazoan signal recognition particle RNA". Rfam says of the family: The signal recognition particle (SRP) is a universally conserved ribonucleoprotein. It is involved in the co-translational targeting of proteins to membranes. The record is from RNAcentral. Lineage: Eukaryota; Metazoa; Chordata; Mammalia; Cingulata; Dasypodidae.